Molecule: long non-coding RNA, 1035 nt
Filed under: Cyanistes caeruleus (blue tit)
Lineage: Eukaryota; Metazoa; Chordata; Aves; Passeriformes; Paridae
Description: lncRNA (ENSCCEG00000019131.1)
Source: RNAcentral
AUGCAGCACGGCCUUGGCACCUUGAUGCUGAUUGCAAGUGGCUUGUUUUUGCUUCCUGACAUGCAGACAGCUCGUGGGGUCUGGGCUGGCUGUGCUCUGCCUGCCCUGGUGAAAAGCUGCUGGCGGGAGUUGUCAGCCAGCUGUCCCCACUCCUGUCGUGUGUCCCCAAAUGCCAGCUCCGGGCAGGGCAGGGCAGGGCAGGACCCCGUGGUGGCUGCGGAGGGCUGGGAUGAUGGCACUGGGCAGAUGGGCUCAGCUGUGGCUGCCAGCUCUGCCUGGGCUGCCUGUUCCAAAGAGGAGCUGAUCCUGCGUGACAGGGAACACCUGGGUGUGCCUGAGGCAGGGGUGUGUGCUCAUGAGUGUCCCUAUGUGUCCAUGAGUGUCCCUGUGUGUCCAUGUGUGUCCAGGGAAGUGCCCAUGCAUUUCCAUCUGUGUCCCUGUGUGUCCCUGUGUCUCCAUGAGUGUCCAUGUGUGUCACUGUGUCUCCAUGAGUGUCCAUGUGUGUCCCUGUGUGUCCAUGAGUGUCCAUGUGUGUCACUGUGUCUCCAUGAGUGUCCAUGUGUGUCACUGUGUCUCCAUGAGUGUCCAUGUGUGUCCAUGUGUGUCCAUGAGUGUCCAGGGAAGUGCCCAUGCAUUUCCAUGUGUUUCCAUAUGUUUCCAUGUCUAUCCAUGUGUUUAUGUCAGUCCUGGGGUGGGGAGCAGGAGGAUGAAGCAGUUGCUCAUAUGUUUCCAUGUCUAUCCAUGUGUUUAUGUCAGUCCUGGGGUGGGGAGCAGGAGGAUGAAGCAGUUGCUCUGACCCAAGCCCCAUCCCAGCACCAAGACCAUGCAGGCACCUGCCUGUCCCCUUUUCCUGGAGCGUUCUGCUUUGUGUCCCUGUUGGGAAGUGCCUGGGGAGCUGCCCUGGCCCUGUCCCCUGGUGAUGGAAAGCCUGGCACCCCCUGCCCUGCUGAUCCCGGGGCUGAGGCUGUGCAAGCAGAGCCAGCACUGCUCUCCUGCCCCUCUGCUCUCCUCAGCAGGUUGCUGGGUGACAGAUAA